Molecule: long non-coding RNA, 27175 nt
Filed under: Citrus maxima (pomelo)
Lineage: Eukaryota; Viridiplantae; Streptophyta; Magnoliopsida; Sapindales; Rutaceae
Description: long non-coding RNA (CMAX_LNC002244)
Source: RNAcentral
GACAUACCGUAGCAUUGAACAUCGUGCAAUUGUGAACUCUAUACAAGAAAGACUUUCCAUUGCCACAUUUUACACAAAGAGAUUAGAUGGCGAAAUAUAUCCAGCAUCCAGUUUGAUAUCUGAAAAAACUCCUGCAUUGUUUCGAAGAGUGACAGUUGAAGAAUACUUUAGGAGCCGGUUUGCUCGUGAGCUUAGGGGAAAAUCUCACCUGGAUGACCUGAGAAUUCAACAUGGUCGAGGCUAGUACAAUUAUUUUGGAUAAUUGCAGAUUUGUGCCAGGAAUUUUCUGAUGAUAAUUGUGCUUAUUUUGGAUCAGUUUCUUUCAUUUUUGGAAUAGAAUUUUUGCAGGCUUGUCAUGUUUUUAUCAGAUUUCAAGAACUAUUUCACUUGCUUUCGGAGUUAAAGAUGAUUCAAAUAUGAUAUUAAAUACUUAAGCAUGCCAUUCUAACGCUUGCUUGUCCAAUUACAUCCUUAUCAACAAUAUAUUUUGUUACAAUGUCACUGAAGUUGAAUAGAUAACAACAUGCUUGGGUUAUAUGUUGUCAUUUGGCUUAACCAUCCGUCACAUUAAGCAGAUUGUUGUGAUAAUGUGUUUUACAACCUUCCCCAGUAGCAUGAAUGUAGUUAAAAUAAUUGUAACAAAUUUUGUAUUGCUUGUAGCAACAUUGUUCUCCAUAGCACACAUUGCCUGAGUACAAAAGUUGUAACUUGUUACCAAUAAUAAUAAUAAAAAAUAAUAAUAAUAGUAAUAAUAAUUAUCAAUAACUAAAAAUGAGACAGAUGUUACUUUCAUAAGUGGAACUUGGAUUCACAAGCAAAAUAUGAGGUUUUAAUUGGUUGUUAUCAGAAAAAAAUAUAAAGAUAAUUAAUGCCUAAACAUAAACAGCUAUAAUUGUAUAAAUGACUAAUCGAUUACAAUUCGAAUCCACUAUUUUCUUAAUAGUGCACAGUCAAUUCCAACACAGCACCAGAUUGCAGCGUGUUAGAAAAAUUUUUAGGUAAUCAUAUAUAUGUUUUAAUCAAUUAUGAUAAUAUGUUUACCCAUAUAUAAGAUUUGAAUAGAUAAAAAGUAAUACUCGAGAACCACCAAAGUCCUUUUAACUGCAGACACGCAAUGGUGGAUUACUCGCACAAGUCAAGAGCAAAAUACCAAGUUGUGAAAGAAAAAUAAAAAGGGGAAAAGAAAACAAAACGCAGUAUUGAAAAUACCUUCGCCUUUUGGGUUGAUGACAAGGUGGGAACCACAAAUAAUUAAUUGGCUGAUGGUUUGUCAUCGUUAUCCAUAGAGGAUAGUUUUGACCUGCGAAUAUUUUAUUUUGCAUUCGAAACAUGUGCAAAAAAUUAAAAAUACUUCAUGAAUGGUUAGGUGGAGGAUGCUGAUUAAUUACUUGGAAAAAGAUUCCUUUUUACUUUUGUGAUUGUCAGCACUCAGUCUUGUUCCAAAACCAAUACAAAGCUGCAGCAAUCUUGAAAGGAUUUGAGGAACAAAAGAUGGCCCAGAUUGGAAGUUCUCUCCUUGUGCCUUGUGUUCAAGAGUUGGUCAAGAAUCCGGCGUUAGUUGUCCCCGACAGAUACAUACGUCCAGAUCAAGAUUCACCCCUCAUUUCUGAUGAUAUUUUGAUUUCACAGAUACCAGUUAUUGACAUGCAAAGCUUACUUUCUAAAGAAUCAAUGGAUUCUGAGUUAGCCAAGCUCGACUUCGCAUGCAAAGAAUGGGGUUUUUUCCAGGUAUAAUGCUUUAGCAAAGUUAGAAAAUUGUUUCGCCAGAACAUGCUUGUUUGUGAUCAAGAAUCGAGAAAUAUGCAAAUUGUCAAUCAAAUAGGCAAAAUUAAAAUUCAUAUUUAUUUCUUAAACCCACGUAUCAUUGAUGUUAGCAGAUCAUGGUUUCACUUUCCAGUGUUGUCUGUGGCUUAGGACUGCAGCUUGUGAAAAGAAGAACUUGUCUCUGGUUUAUUUAUUAUUGACUUUCUAUAUUGCUUUACCUUUUCUCCCUCCAGGCAUGGUUUAAUUAGCUAUUUCAUUCCUAAAUGUCAAACAGGCAAUAUGUAUUAAAAAGAUUGUCUUGAGAAAUUUCACCUCCUCUGCCUCAAUAGCUUUUGGUACCUUAUGAGAAAUAUGCUUCUGUCAAAAUUUUAAAAGAUAUACUAUAGUAAAUUGUGUAAGACCUCUUAGAAAAUGUACUCAUUUCUGUAGUCAAUGUUGCAAAUUUACUUUAAUUUAAAGACAAUUAGAAGUAACAUUGAGAUUAUUUGCUGUUGUAUGAUUUUUCAAAUUCUAGGUGUGAACAAACCACAAGAACUUUAUGCUCAUUAUAGUUAUUCUAGAAUAACCAAAAUUUCUCCGAUAGAAUGAGUAGAAAACACCUGUGGAAACUAAUUGUUGGGAAGAUUUAAAUGUAACAAAUGCUUUUAGCCAUCUUUAAUGGUAAAUCUUAUCUCUAAAUCAGUCAGAUAAGUUGCAAUCUGUCUUAAUAAAACACCUGGACUAUUGUGCGCUUAGUGGCACGAUUAUUAAAUCUUUGCUGCAUUUCGUUCCUGUAUUUUUUUCAGCUGGUAAAUCAUGGAAUGAGCACAGCAUUUCUAGAGAAAUUAAAGAAAGAGGUUGAGGGAUUCUUCAAUCUCAGCAUGGAAGAAAAGAAAAAAUAUUGGCAGCGUCCAGGAGAUAUGGAAGGAUUUGGACAAGCCUUUGUUGUAUCGGAGGAACAAAAGCUUGAUUGGGCUGACCUUUUCUCCAUGAUGACUCUUCCAGUUCAUCUGAGGAAACCACAUUUAUUUCCUAAGCUCCCUCCUUCCCUCAGGUUCUCUCUCUCUCUCUCUCUGUGUCAAUGUCAUUUUGAUUUGCAAACAAAUAAAGGAUAGUGCAUCUUCUUUUCCUGUAGAGAGACCUUGGAAGUUUACUCAAUGGAAUUAAAAACCCUAGCCGAGAACCUAAUAUCGAAAAUGGGAGAAGUGUUAAAUAUCAAAGAUGAAGAAAUGAUAGAAUUCUUUGAAAAUGGACUGCAAGGAAUGAGGAUGAAUUAUUACCCUCCAUGUCCUCAGCCCGAGAAGGUUAUGGGCCUGUCGCCGCAUUCUGAUGCAGCUGCACUUACCAUUCUGCUACAACUUAAUGAAGUGGAGGGUCUCCAGGUAAAGAAGGAUGGAAAGUGGAUUCCUGUUACCCCACUCCCGGAUGCUUUCAUUGUCAACAUUGGAGACACAUUGGAGGUAAUAAUUAUAAUAAAUUACCUUAACCUGGCAUUUUUAUGCGCUUGCUUAUGUGCUUUAAUAAUUUUUACAUGGCAGAUUAUAACCAAUGGGACAUACCGCAGCAUUGAGCAUCGUGCAGUUGUAAACUCUGUACAGGAAAGACUUUCCGUUGCCACAGUUUACUCAGUGAGAUAUGAUGGUGAAGUGUAUCCUGCCUCCAGUUUGAUCUCUGAAAAAACUCCUCCUUUGUUUAGAAGAGUGAGAAUUGAAGAAUACUUUAGGAGCCGGUAUGCUCGUGAGCUUAGGGGAAAAUCUCAGUUGGAUUCCCUGAGAAUUCAACAUGGUCAAGGCUAGUAUAAGUUUAUUUUGGAUAACUAAAGAGUUUGGUACAAAAACUCUUAAGGACCUUGCUAUUAAGAUUGGCGUGGAACUGAAAAUAAGAAAUAAGUUCUAUGAAUACUGUGGUAUAACCUGCUAUGCUAGGGUCGUUGUGUAGCUCUAUCAUUUGAGAUACUGAAUAGACCAUGUAAGAAUCUUAAGAAUUGCAGACUUAUGCCUGGAAUCUUCCGAUGAUAUAUGGUGGUGCUUAUAUCAGAUCAGUAUCUUUCUUUCUUGAAAUAGAAUUUUUGCAUACCUGACUUGUUUUUAAUGAGAUUUCAAGGACUAUAUGACUUGGUUUCAAAUUUUUAUGAUACAUACAGAUAAUAUUACCACAGAACCAGUGUAGUUUCUGUAUCAGCCGUUAUAGUUUUCAGUUAAUAGUAACAAGUUUUUGAUUUUUAACAAGAAUGUUGUCCUUCCACGUCUUAAAUAUUCCGUUCCAUAACACACAUUGUGACGAAUACAUAACUUGUUACCAUUGACGAAAAAUUUUGCCAUCAAUAGCUGAAAAUAGAUGUUAGUUACACAAGCUGCAAAGCUAUAACUUUGGAUUUCAUAUUCAGAUUGUCCCUCUCAAAGUUGAACUUGGAACUACGGUUGAUGAUCUGCUAUUAUGCUGAGAAAAAUACAAGAUUUUUUUUUUGGUUGUCAUCAGACAAUGUAAAAGAAAUUAGCAUGGGAUCCAAAUUCUUGAGAGUUUGAUAAGGCAAUGCACUAUAUUUUUUUAUAACUCGCAGCAGACAGCAGCACAACAGCAGACUGCAACUGUCAUAUUCACAAAAUAUCUAUGGGCCAACCCUAGACCCGCAAUGGUGGAUUAGUCUCACACAAGGCCACAGCAAAUAAUGACUUGUAGAAAAUAAUACAUUUUCAACAUUUGCUUUGUCAAUAAAAAUCUGUAGCAUUAUUGUUGAGAGAAUUUGUGCAACAAAAAGAAGGCCAAGUUCGGAGGUUCUCUGCCUGUGCCUUGUGUUCAAGAGUUGGCCAAGAAUCCUAUGUUAGCUAUCCCCCCAGGUACAUACCACCACGCUAAGAUUUAACCACAAUUUCUGAUAAUAAUUUGGAUUCACGGGUAUUGCAGAGCUUGUUUUCUGAAGAGUCAAUGGAUUCUGAGUUGUCCAGGCUCCACUUCGCUAGCAAAGAAUGGGCUUCUUUCCAGGUAAAGUCCUUUGCCAAGUUAUUAUUAUUUUGCUUUUAAAGGAUUUGCUUGGGAUGAGACCUCAUCUACUAAAUACCACCCUUUGUCCCAUAUUGUUACUCGAGCGCAGAUAUCUGCAAAUUGCGAAUUACAUUCACAACCAGCUAAGCUACACCUGCCGUGAGGCACCCAAGUUUGUACUUUUUCAUUUGGACAUGCUUGGUUUGUUAAUAGUAGUCUGGGGUCAAGAAUUAAGAAAUCUGUAUACUCUCAAUCAAAGAGCACAGUCGAUCAAAUUCAGAUUAGAUUAUGUUCCAUUCUUAUAGGUCAAGUAGGCCACAAAUUUGGCCUACUCUGUAUCAAUGCUUUCUUACACUGUAAGUUAGCAAUAAGAAAGCUGUAACAAAAUUUGAGUCUACGUAGUCUUAACCAAGCCGGUUUAAGCACUCUUUUUUUUAAAAAAAAAAACAUUGAGGGAUGUAACUGACCUUGUCCGAUUAUGGACCCAUCUAACUUGCUUUCUUGUAUGGCUGAGAAGAAAAACCUGCAUUCUUGAAAAUUAAAUUGUCUUUAAUAUCUUUCAGAUGUCUAGGCUUGCGGUAGCUUGAGAAGAACUAUAAGCAAAUUUAUGAUGGAGUAUAAUGCAAAUGCGAUUCUAUUAGUUUAUUGAAAUCUAACAAAUACUUUUAUUCAUCGCACUCAGUAAAUUUUGCCUGAAUUAGUCCAAUAAGUUGUACUCUGUCUCAGCAAAAUACCUUGACCAAAAUAAAAAACGUAGUGACACGAUUGUUAAUGUCUUAGCUGUUUUUCUGUUUCUGAAUUGUUUCAGCUGGUAAAUCAUGGAGUGAGCCCUGCAUUUCUAGAGAACGUAAAGAAAGAGAUUCCGGAAUUCUUCAAUCUAAGCAUGAAAAAAAAAAAAUUGGCGGUCUCCAGGAGCUGUGGAAGGAUUUGGACAAGCAUUUGUUGUAUCCGAGGAACAAAAGCUUGAUUGGAAUAACAUUUUCUUCAUGACAACUCUUCCAGUUCAUCUGAGGAAACCCCACUUGUUUCCUAAGCUCCCUCUUUUCCCCCUCAAGUUUCUCUCUCUCUAGGCAGUUAUUUGAUGAUUGCAAAUGUAUUAUGUUCAGAGAAAGAUCCCAAGUCAGUUAUAUUUAGCAAAAUUUGACAACCAAACAUGAUUUUGAAAGAAUACUGCUAAAUAAUAACUUAUUUAACAAUCCACCACAAUCAUGUACUAAACCUUCUAAUUGCGUCUUCUUUUUUCUUGUAGGAAAUUUUGGAAUUUAUUCAGUGGAGUUAAAAAUCUUUGGCCAUGAACCUGGUAUCGAAAAUGGGAAAAGUUUUAAAUAUCAAAGACGAAGAAUUGAGAGAAUACUUUGAAAAUGGUUUCCAAUCAAUGGGGAUGAACUAUUACCCUCCAUGUCCUUAGCCGGAGAAGGUUGUGGGCCUCACAACUCAUUGUGAUGACUCUGCUCUUACCAUUCUGCUGGAAAUCAAUGAAGUAGAAGGCCUCCAGAUCAAGAAGGAUGGAAAGUGGAUUCCUGUUACACCUUUCCCAAAUGCUUUCGUUGUCAACAUUGGAUAUGUGUUGGAGGUAAUUAUUAUGAUAAGUUAUUUUAACUUGACAUUCAUAUGAGCUAGCUAAUGUGUGCUUUCAUUAAUUCAUGUUGCUCCACUUCCUAAUGCUUUCAUUGGAGACACAUUGGAGGUAAUAAUUAUAGUAAAUUACUUAACUUGGCAUUUAUAUGCGCAUGCUCAUGUGCUUUAAUAAUUUUUACAUGGCAGAUUAUAACCAAUGGGACAUACCGUAGCAUUGAGCAUCAUGUAAUUGUAAACUCUGUACAAGGAAGACUUUCCAUUGGCACAGUUUACUCAGUGAGGUAUGAUGGUGAAAUGUACCCUGCGUCCAAUUUGGUCUCUGAAAAUACUCCUUCAUUGUUUAAAAGAGUGAAAGUUGAAGAAUAAUUUCAGGAAUCUGUGUGCUCGUAAGCUUAGGGGAAAAUCUCAUCUGGAUGCCUUGAGAAUUGAACAUGUUCAAGAUUAUUAUAAGUUUAUUUUGGAUAACUAAAGAGUGUAGUACAAAAACCGUGGGGGACCUUGCUAUUACAAUUGUGUGUGGAACUAAAAAUAAGAAAUAAGUGUAAGAACAAUAAAUCCUUUGGUGAAAAUCAUCACCUCAAUUUAGGAACAUGUAUGUUGUAUCACCAAAAAUUAAUAAUAGAAUAUGCGGCAGUGUACCUAAGUUCAUAAUGCACAAUUGCUCUUUAGAGCCGAGUAGUUUGUCUUCCAAAUAAACAUGUUCUCCUAAAGAAUUCUUUAAACUUCUCUAUACUGUCUCUUUAAUGAUGAGAUGUCAAUAGAGAAUAGAACAAUACGUGUGACCUAUGGAUAAUAACUACUUAUAUAUAUAGAUUUUCCUUUUGUUUUUAGGUAUUCUUAUUUCAACCCAUUAUAAAAAUCAAAAUUAGUCUUAAGUCUCUAUACAUUAAAGGCCCACAAUCUAUUAGAUACAUUAAAACCCAAAUUACCGAAAACCUUAAUAGACCAAUUUUAAUUUGGCUUAGAGUUAGACUAUUGGCACCCCUCCAAAAUUCUUCUAAAACCCCUUUUUCAAUAAUGCUAAGCUUAAUGCCAAAAAUACCCUUAUUUCUAAAUAAACACAUUUAAUUUGUGAAUCUUUUAAUUUUUAUUAUUUUCUCGCUCCUCACAAACAAAAUUUUAUGGGUGAUAAGUUUCUUGAUAAAAAUCAAUUAAUAAAAUAAAAUAUCUGUAAGAUUAUAAUGUAAAAAGUUUUAUUAUGAGCCUUAAAAAAAGGUAGAUAAUUUUUUCAAAAUGUGUUUUGUUUAUUAUCAAUAGAUUGUCUUAGUAAUUGAAGAAAAAUUUACAGAGAAUUUGAGAAAAAAAUUACAUGUGUGAGUUUGAUGGCAGAGAAAAUACAAGAGCUUUUUUUUUAAGAGAGAAAAUACAAAAGUUUGAAGUGAGAUAAAAUAGAUGUGAGAUAUAUUAGAGUAUUUGUCCUUAAAUGUAAUUGUAAUAGAAGAGGAAGUUUAAAAGGAUUUUGAAGGGGUGUCAAUAGUCCAACUCUUUGGCUUAAUCUUAUAUGACAAUUCACAUCAUAUAAUUAUUCACAUAUAAGCGCAACAUUGGAUCAAGGAUCCAACCAUACCAGAUUAAAGAUCCAACAACCUUUCACUUGGACUAUAUAUAUAACUUUGUAAUUAUACUUUACAAAAAUAACUAUAUGAGGUCAACUUUACUGUCAUUACCAAAAUGCAUCUAUAGCCAAUUCGGUCCAUCUAUCAUACCAACAUAGGAUCAAAAUGACCUUUAUUACAAAUAUCGUAACUUGACCCAUCAAUGCUCACUAUGCCAGCAUAACUUAAUGACAUAGAUCAUGAUAUGGUGUAGGAUGGAAAUUUUAUGUAAUGUGAUUUCAACAUGCCUAUUUUCAAUUGAUCCACCUUAAACAUUAGUGAGAUCAAAUUAUACAAAAUUAGAGUGUAAAUAAACCAAAAUUUUAUUUCUGUAGAAAAUAGCCUUAAAUAUCCCCAAACCGAAAAAUGUUUAUAUCAUAAAAGCAUUUAAAAGUUACAAACUCCCAUUAAAAAUGAAUAUCAAUAUCCUUUAAUGACAUGACACCCAUAUGAACAAUGUGCUCAUGAAACAUUUUAAAUGACAUUCCCUUAGUAAACGGAUCUGUAAUCAUGGAGUUUGUACCAUUAUACUUUAUAGACAAUUGUCCACUCUGAAUUCCUUAGGAACUUGAUGUCUAUAUACUGUGACAUCGUUGAGCUCUUAUUGUUAUUGGAAUAUAGCACUGCUGACUUAUUGUCACCAAAUAACUUAAGUGGUCUAUCAUAAGGGUGUCAAAAAAGCCUGCCCGGACCGGACCCGGCCCCCGGACCGCAUGCACAUAAAAACCGGACCCAGGUUUGAAAUUCUCAAACCCGGACAUUUCCGGGCCCGGGUCCGGGUUCAACACCAAAAACCCGGAACCCGGACCGGACCCGGUUUUUUAAUAAAUUUUUUUAAAAAAUAUAUAAAUAUAUAAUUAUGAAUUUAUGAUAUGUUGGAUGUUAUUUAAAUUUAUUGUGUGAUUAUUGUGUUGUUGAAUUUAAUUUAUUUAUUUUAUAUAUAGAUUGAAUGAGUUUAAGUUAGAAAUUGGAUGAAUUUAGGUAUUAGAAAGUGGAUUGAAAUAAUUUUAAUUUAUCAUUUGUGCAAAAUUUGCAUUGUUAGUGUGUUAUAUAUUUGUAUUUGACUAUUUGCUUUUUUAAAGUUUGAGAUUGAAUGAGUUUAUUUGAUUAUUUUCUUUUUUUAAAUUUGCAUUGUUAGAGAAAUGAAAGAAAAAAUUGAAGAAAAAAAUUGAAGUUAUCACAUGCGGGUUUAGAAAGCCCGGAUCAAAACCCGGACCCGGAAGGUGCCGGGCUCAACCCCGGACCGCACCCGAAAAAAUUGGGUUUUAACCCGGGUUCGGUCUUGUAUUUCUCUCAUCCAGUCCCGGGCAACACCAAAACCCGGACCGGACCCAAAUUUUGUCAAGCCUAGUCUAUCAAUACUAUUUAAAAUGAGUAAUUCUAUGACGAAAUUUUGUAGCCAUAUUCCUUGAUUGGAUAUUUCGUAACAUGCUGUGAACUCCGCUGCUAUAGUAGAAAAGGCUAUAAGAGACUGUUUAGCACUCUUUCAGGAAACAACACCCCUAGCCAGUAGCUAGAUGUAACCAAAAGUAGAUUUCAUAUUAUCUUGGGAUCUAACAAAAUCAGAGUUAGCAUAAUGAUCUCAAGCUGAUCUAACUUUCGAUGUAGUCUUUUGUUCUCUGUAAGUAUCGCAAGACCCGUUUGGCUGUUUCCCAAUAGUUUACCCCUGGAUUACUUAAAUAUCUAUCCAACAUUCCAGUAAUGUAUGCAAUAUUCAGUUGCGUACAAACCUAAACAUACAUCAGACUUUCUAUUACUGAUGUAUAAGGAAUCUUCUACAUUUUUUAUUCCUUAAAAUCAUCAUUAGGGCACUAAUUGUGUAACAUCCAUUAUUUUUGUUUUAUUUAUUUAUUUUUUAUUAUUUUACUACUACUACUACUACUACUACUACUACUACUACUACUACUACUACUAUUAUUAUUAUUAUUAUAUCUAUUUUAGAGAAUAUAGUAUUUUAGGCUAAUGAUUUUAAGCGUGUUUUAAUUUUUCUUUAUUUAUUUGAUUUACCAAUUUAGUAAAUACCUUAUUAAAAAAGGAAAUAAAUUCCUAAAUAGGUAAGGGUGUUAAAAGGCUUGGCUUUAUAAAAGCUUCUCUUGCGUUGUUUUAUUUCUCAAAAUCCUAGAGGCUGAAUACAACAACACACACAAGAGUAAACCUUUUUUUUUUAAGAAGAGAAGUAGAUUUUGAUUGGUUUUUUUCUUUUCCAUAAAGAAAUUCUUGAGUUUUGAAUUUGUUUUGAAGGAUUUAGCCUUCUGGUUUUAUUUGUGAUUUUAUGUGAUUGAUUGAAUGAUUUUGUGUGUAUUACAUUGAUAAAAUUGUGAAAGCAUGAUCAUCUAUUGAUUUAUGUUGUUAUUGAGUGAAAGUGGUGCUAUUAUUUUAUCUUGAAAACAGUGAACAACAUAGAUUCAAUGUUUUAUGACUGCUGUUUUCAUUAAGUCUCAUGCAUAAAAUUUUAUAAUUUAUUAAACUAGACAUCUUUAUCUUUCUAUUUAUAUGUUUAUCGUUCAAAACUCAUUGUAUAUUAAUUUUUUUGAUUUUUCAAAAUUGGAACACUAGUGUUGGAAAAUUCCAAUUUUCAGCAGCAGUUCUCGUUACUAUAAUUUAUUUGGUAACUCAAACGAUUUCUGAAAAUUCUAGGAACGUUUUUCAUUUUACACAUAUAUGUCUAGUUUCUGUAUACUUAAAUUCCUAAUUUUUGGCUUUAUAUAAAAAUAAUUAAAAAUCAUAGAGCUAGGCUACCGUAAUAUUGGAAAUUGUUUUCUAGAAUUGCGAGGGUUGAUAUUGAAGCGAGUUUGGGUUACUUUUUCAUAGUGAAUGCUAGGGGUGGGCAAAAUACCCGACCCGAUCCGACCCGAAAAAAUUCGGGUUCGGGUCGGUUCGGGUUGUUAUUGAAACCCGAACGGGUGAAAAAUUGCAAACCCGAUCGGGUUGUGAUUGGGUCGGGUAAAACCCGAUCCGAUCCGAAUACCCGAUCGGGUCGCACAAAAAAAAAAAAUCACUAAACCUAUAAACACAUCACACAUGCACACACCAGACACCAGACACCACACACACGGCCAUGCAAAGUUACAACUCAAAAAGUCACAAAAACAAGUGGCUAAAAAAAUAUUGACAAAUAAAAAACAAAAUAUAAUUAUAACCCACGCACACAGGCCACAGCCACACACAAACAUUGAAACAUAUCUUCGCUGCCUUCACAGCCCUCAUCCCCACAGCCCUCAUCCUUACACUCACAACUUCACACACACACACAAAUAUCGCAAAAGCCAAAAGCAAAGCGGCAGCUAGCAGCCAACGCAGAGAAGAGAACGGAGGAAGCGCAGCCAGUGCAUGCAGCCACCUAACCCGUGACUGGAUCUACUGCUCCGCGACAUCCGUAGCUACCAGAUCUGCUGUUGCCGGAUAUCUACAGGAUCUGUUGCUGCUGGAUCCGCUGCGCUGCUAUCGGAUCUGCUGUUGCAGCCUCCACCAUCACCGAGUUCCACCGCGAAGGUGCGAACCGGCAACUCGAAUUCUUUUCUUUUUUUGAUGUUUUGAUGGGAUAUAAUAAUAUAUUAUAUAUUAUCUGUUAAUUGCUAAGUAUAUGUAUUGUUAAAUGUUAAUAAUAAAAUGAGGGAAAUUCUUGUAUGGAAAGUUUUGGAGUUUAAUUUAUUAAGUCUGUGGAAGCUUAAAUAAUAAGUAUGAAUUGAUUUCUUUUUUUUUGUUUUGUUUUUAAUGAAUAGAUUAAGCAAAUUAAGCAUUAAAAUUAAAUAUUUUGCAUUUGAUCUGUGCAAUGUUUCACCCGAUCCGAAUUAACCCGAAUUUAACCCAAUUAUUUGACCCGAUCCGAUCCGAUCCGAAUAUAUUCGGAUCGGGUUACAACUUCGGGUUGAGUUCGGAUGAAUUCUUUUCUAACCCGAUCAACCCGAAAUCCAAUCGGGUUGAUCCGAACCCGACCCGAACCCAAAAAUGCCCACCCCUAGUGAAUGCCUUAUAAAUUUAACUUUUAUAUUCAAUGCAAACGUGUUCACAAUAGUUUUUUGUAAUAUUUUUGAUUUUUCUGACAUAAUUAUAGCUUGUUAGAAAUUAACUCUUACAAGACGAUCGAGUGUAGUUUAGUGAAUUGAUGUGCUUUAGUAAGAGUAAAUGGUUUAAGGAUAUUUUGGCUUUCUUAUCAACGUCAAAAUUGAAAAAAAAAAUUGAUAAGAAUCUUAUCUUGAUAAUUAUAGGCCAAGAACGAGCUCGUGUGAUUGGGGUUAUUGUUGAUUGCUUCGUAUUGAGUUAAGUGAACUCAUGCAUAAUGUUUAUUAUAGUUAUAUAUGUAAAUAUCUAGAAAAGAAUAAUGUUAUUCAUAUAAAUUGACAUUUUAUGGUUUUGAAGUUAUUUUACUCUUAUAUUUUAUGAUAAUAAAUAAUGUUUUGAUUAAAACUUUAUUUAAAAUAUUUUCUUAAACUAUUUAAAAAAUAACUUUAAAAUAAUUGUCUUUCCAUAAAUUGGUCUUCCUUAAAAAUAUUUGUUAAGCUUGCCAAUUCAAUGUCUUAUAAGAGCAUUUUAUCAUAAUAUUACUGAAUGAUUGAUAUUGAAAGACUGAAAUUGUAUUUAAGAUUUUGGCUCAUUAACCGUAGUUAUUGUUGCUGAUAUAACCGAACAUUUAACUAUAUUGUGCGCACCUAUUGAUGAUUAUAGUUGGGUAACGUACCCUAAUUGAACUACUAACCGAGUCAUCGGGGUUAUAGGUGACUUACUAAACUAAUACCGGGUCAUUAGGGUUAUAGGUGACUUAUUGAACCACUGGCCGGGUCACCGGAAGUACAGGCGACACUAUAUGACAUGAGCAAUUGAAUAAAUGAAUGGUUAUAUUGAUAAAUGAUUUCCGAAAUGAUUAUUUAUUAAAAAUGGUUAUUACAUUAUGAUUUAACUAAUUAUAAGUUUUAAUGUACACUUAUGGUACUUUAUAAUGAUUGUUUUGUAUUUUAUCGUUAUUAGUAACCUUAUGCAUGAGUUAGUGUUGAGUGUUAGAAAAUGCAUAUUUAUAAAGGAGAAAAUUGUCAUUUUACAUUUCAUGUCUUACUAACAGCCCUUACUUUUAUGUAUUUAAGCUUCUUGUAAUUUAAUUAUGUGUGUUUUAUUUUAAUUAAGUAUUUUAUGUAUUUUAGGGGCAUCAUGGUCAUUUCACAAUAAACGAGAGAUCAGACGGCAAAAUGGACAUCACUUUUGAACUCAGGACGGUUGAAAAUCUUAGGAGGAGCAUAAAAGGAAAAAUGACACUGUUCACAUGUACGGUACUGUCUAUGUUACUAUUCACGACACUGUUCACAUAGACGGAUCGAUGAUGUGGCAUUGACCGAUGAUGUGGCAUUGACUGAUGAGGUGUCACGAUCCUGUUGGACUAAAAUUCUUAUGCACUGUUGAUUGAUGACGUGGCAGCAUAUCAGUGGACCAAAAAUCUCGCGUACGGUACAUGCAUUAUACAGGAUUAUUUUCAACCAAACUGAGUCACUGUUCAACUCGGGGCAAACCGUGUUACUGUUCAUCCAAGUGGUCAAACCGCAUACUGUUGACUGAUAACGUGGCGCAAUCCUGAGCGUCCAAACUGUUUUUAAUCCGAUGGCCACGAUUUACUUAAUGUAUCUACAAAAAGGGGGCCUCCCCUCUAAUUUGAUACCUCUGAAUCCAUUUUUUGGAUCCAUUUUCUAUAAUUCCUUCUCCAUCUUGUAUUUUCUACGUAUUUUAAUAAAUUUCUAUUUUGCCCCUAGUUCAAUUAUGAGUAACUAAUUUUCUUUCAAGCUUGGGUUGAAGGUGAAGUCUCAACAUGUGUCAUGGGCUUUAUUUGGUAAAUUUAUUUUCUCUUCCCCUCUAGUUUUUGUGGAUGUUUUGACUUCUCGUCGAUAAAUAAUAAUAAUAUUGUUUAGUACCGCCUUGGUUUCACCGGCUCCCUAAUACAAAGUUAUUAUUAUUUGGCACGAUAAGCCCUUAGCACCAUAUUGAUUAGAGCGUAGUUCAUGAGGUGUGAAUUCCCCCCUCAUGAUUUAAUUGGUAUUAAUAAGGAAUAUUUAGCCCAUGGUGCAUUUGAUAUGAAUUCAAAUACCCAAGUACGUCAAUUUAAUAGAUUUUCACUUUAAUUUCUUCUCGCCAUUUCAAUUCCAAUUUUUAGGAUAAUUUAAAUCACUUCCACCACAAAUCCAACCACCUCAUACAAAAUUAAUUCUAUAUAUAAUUAAAAUCCACCUCCUCGUGAGAUCGACACUCGUCACUAUUAGUCUAUUAUACAAUAGAUUCGUAAGCUUGCGAGUUCAAUAAAAUUUGCACAACAAGUUUUUGGCGCCGUUACUGGGGAGGUAAGUUAUUUUAAUUUGUAGAAUUAAUUUUUGUCAAUAAUUUCUUUUAUUUGUUUUCUUUUUUUUUCUUAUUAAAAAAAAGGGAAAAAAGAGAGUGAAUUUGCAUUGAGAGAUUAGUAUUUCUUUUCUUUUUCUCUUCUUUAAAAUUCUGUAAUUUAAUUUUCAAGUUAUUUUUUUCUUCUUUGUAAUUUUUGUUUAUCUUACUAAUUUUUUUAAGUUAAUUUAUUUCACGUAUUUUUUUGUGUGUAUUUUUAUAGUAAGGUUGUAAUAGCGCGAUAAGGUUAGUAUCGUAAUUUCUCCCUCUUCUUUAUUUUUAUUUGUUUUGUUCCCAUCUUUAUUUUUAUUUUAUUUGUUUUACAUGCAUAGUCGAAGAUCAUUAUUACCUAAUCUUAAACCUAUAGACCUGGAACUAGAAAAAAUACUUCGCACACACAAGCACGUUAAAAAUAAAUUUGGAAUGGAUUUACAAGUACCACAAGAGAGGCCAUUUAAGGACUAUUUUAGUCCUUUAGCUAAUUUGAGCACAUCAUGUAUAAGAUACUCAAAUGUAGCUGCUACGAGUUUUGAACUAAGACCUAGUCUGCUAAAUUGUCUCCCAACAUUCUAUGGCCUAGAAAAUGAGGACCUUUAUAAUUAUUUGAAUGAUUUUCAUACUAUUUGUCAAACAUUUAAAUAUGAGAAUUUUUCAUAUGAUGAUGUAAAACUUAGACUAAUCCCAUUUUCUUUAAAGGAUAGAGCUCGUUCAUGGUUUAAUAUAUUGCCUGCUAAUACCAUUUCAUCAUGGGAACAAAUGGUAACGAAAUUUUUAAAUAAAUAUUUCCCAGUGCAUAAAACUAAUGCUAUUCGCAGGGAAAUUUCAAAGUUUACCCAUAGAGAAGAUGAGCAGUUUUUCGAAACAUGGCAGUAAUUUAAUGGGCUACUCUUGAAGUGUCCACAUCAUGGGUACGAGAAAUGACACCAAUGCCAAUACUUUUUGGAGGGAUUGUUGCUGAAUGUGUAAGAAUGACUAAUGGCAACAAGUGGAGGAGAGCUAAUGUCAAAAAGUGCAUCAGAGAUUUGGGAAUUCUUCUAGCGACAAGUGGAUAAUUCCCAACAACGGAGUCGAUCACUCAGGAAUACUAGAAGAAUUAAGGGAGUGAAUGAGGUUCACAUUGACGAGUCAACUUCAGGAAUCAAAGAAGUCAAGGAGAUGGUUGAAGGUAUCGCUCGACAAAUAGCAUCAUUAUCGACUGCUAAAUCAACAGAGCCACAUGACCAUGACUCAUACUCAGAUCAAGCCAAUACCAUAGGUGUAAUGAGAAGCCAUCAAAUUACAACCCAUACUCCAACACAUAUAACCCAGGAUGGAGAGACCACCCCAAUUUUUUAUGGUCUCAAGGAUUCCAACAGAAUGAAGCAGCAGCUCCAGCUCCACCAAUGCAACGAAUUCCUCAAGUUCCUCAAGCCUCUCAGCCACCAUUUAGACCAUACAAUCAGAACCAGAACUACUCUCAACCCAGACCAUGGGAGGAUGCAUUCCAGAAUUUCAAGAAUGUUACUCACUCUACGAUUGAGCAACAGAACCGCACCAUUGAUAGACUACGAAAUGAGUUGAGAGCAGGUUUCAACUCACAAGCCCAAUCAGUUUCAAGCCUUGAGAAGAUGGUGGGACAACUUGUUUCUUCAGUUCAGACCUUGGCAAUGACCGUUGAGAAAGGUAAAUUUCCAAGUCAACCAGUGCCUAAUCCUAAAGGAGUACAUGAUGCAAGUACUAGUUCACCACAGCAGCAUGGAGAGGUAAAAGUUGUCAUGACUUUGUGAAAAGAAAAAGAAGUCGACAACAAAGUGGAGAUGUAGGUGAUAAAAGAAAAUCAAAUUGUACCUGUAAAUGUUGAGGACUCAUCACCGGAGGAGAAAGAAGAAACGAACCUACGAGAAUAUGUUCCUAAAUCUCCAUUUCCUCAGAGGUUAGUAAAAGGAAAAAAGGAAAAAUUCACAGGUGAGAUUCUUGAAAUCUUCAAACAGGUAAGUGUUAACAUCCCUUUGUUUGACGCUAUAAAACAAGUUCCAUCUUAUGCUAAGUUUCUUAAAGACCUUUGUAUUAAAAAGAGAAACAUUCAUGUUCAAAAGAAGGCAUUUUUGACAGAAAACGUUAGUUCUAUACUCCAACAUAAAAUUCCUCUAAAAUGCAAAGACCCAGGCUCCCCCACUAUCUCAUGUAGUAUAGGGAACCACACAAUUGAAAAUGCUUUGUUGGAUUUAGGAGCUAAUGUAAAUCUGUUGCCUUAUUCAGUUUUCGUGAAACUUGGAUUGAGAGAAUUACACCCAACUCCAGUGGGGUUGCAGCUUGCAGAUCGGUCCACGAAAAUACCUCGUGGCAUUAUGGAAGACGUGCUUAUCCAGGUAGACAAGUUUUAUUUUUCUGUUGAUUUCAUUGUAAUUGACACUCAACCAAUUCAGGAUUCAAGGAAGCACAUCCUCAUUAUUCUAGGCCGACCUUUCUUGGCAACUGCAAAUGCUCACAUUCAAUGCAGGACUAGAAAUAUGCAGUUGUCCUUCGGCAACAUGACUAUGGAGCUGAACAUCUUCAACAUUGCCAAAUAACCUCACAAUGCAGAUGAUAAAAUUGUUGAUGCGGAUUUAAUAGAAACAUUAGUUGAUAAUACCUUUGUUUCAAACCUUAGUGAUGACCCUUUACAAACAUGUUUAACUCAUUUUGGUUUGGAUUUUGAUAUUGACAGAUCAGUCGAUGAGGUCAACGAAUCACCGUUUAAUUCCAGAAACGAGAUUAUGUGUCUGUCCGUUUACCCUUUCACCGUUUGCCACAAUCGGUGAACCGUUUUUCAACAGAGAGUCCUCUAACAGUUACUCCUUAGCCGUUAAGCGCUUAGGCUUUCACCGUUUCCCUUUCUUCAGCCUCUGGAAGUUACCCUUUAACCGUUUUCGCGAAGUCUAAAAUCUGUUCAAAGGUUUUCUUCUCCUUCUCCAGUUACCCUUUCACCGUUUCCUCCAUUGUUGCGCAGCCGAAGGUUUCUUUGUCCUCAAAUCCUCAUUUUUUCUUGCUUUCCUUGCCAAAUCAAACCUUCAAAAUUAUUUCUUAUCACCUUUAGAACAAUUCUACCGAUUCAAAACUUCAAAUCGAGCCCAAAAUUAAAAAAUCCCAAAUCUAAACCCUAACUGUCGCGGGUCGGGUUUCUUCAUUCUUAAUCCGAUUUCCACAUUUCUUCAACCAAAUUGAACAUCCUACUCACAUCCUCUACUCUUCUUUAAACCUUUUAUCGAUUUACUUUCGUCCCAUUACGUGUUUCCAUGGCUGAACCCUCUCGGAGAAAUCCCAGGCGUAAAUCUGUGCCCCCAAUGAAUCCCAUACCACCUCGGGAGGUCUCUGAGUUUUCAAGGAUUCACUUCCCCACACCUGCCUUGGCUAAGCGGUUCGAAGAUCGCUUUGAUGGUCGAAAGGUACUUGAUCCUUUUUUUGUUGAUAUUGAUAAUUUCCGCAACUUAGUUGUAUGUGGUAGAAGCAUUAGGGAUAUGCUUCAGCCUUGGGAGGCUGCCAUUGAUUUUGAUGACCGAGUUUAUCCAAACUUAGUGCGAGUCUUUUAUUCGAACAUGGAAAUCUCCGACACUCGCCUAAAUAGGAUAGUUACUCAUGUCGGCCGUGUGCCAAUAGAGUUUGAUGAUGCGGACCUAGCUGACCUUCUUGGUAUCUCUUGUGAGGGGCUUGAUAUUUACACCUCUAGGAAAGCCCUCUCCUUUGAUAGUUUUUCUCAUACUCAUGGCGUCCGUAAUAUAUGUCGUCGUCAAGACUUAUCGGAUGAGAUUUGUUUGCUUCCGUUUCGGUCUCAACUUUUACCUCUCCAAGUUCGUAUUCUUCACACUAUUUUACAGCACAUAGUGACUCCUAGGAAGGGUCACUCGGAUGAGGUUACGAGGUUGGACGUUCCCUAUUAGAUAGCCUUCUUACAGACCGUCCCAUUAACCUCGGGUAUAUUAUUGUGCGACAUAUGUUGAGUACUCCAGCGAUCAACCAUCGCUUGCUUCCUUAUGGCAGUAUCAUCACUAAAAUACUGCGACGCUUUGAGGUGCCACUUCUUGAUAUUGGACAUAUGGAGACUCGACGGAUUGGUUCCGAGGCCAUGACCAGUAUCGGAUUCUCUAGAAAGAAUGGAGUGUGGAUAAAGACAAGCAACUCCAAAAACCGGGAUACCUUGAUUGCUCCAGAGGACGAUCGGAUGCUCAAUGAUGUCUAUUCUCCCGAUCAGCUUCUUGACUUUAGAUUAGGAGCUCAUCCUCAUCCUCCGCGUCGCCAUUUUUUCCCUCGGCCUCCAGCUGACUCAGACUUUGAGGAGCGUGCGAUGGAUGCUGAUAUUCCCUCCUCUUCCGAGCCGCCUCCUGCUCCUGAGCCUUAUGCUGUUCCCGAGCAGCCAUCUGCCUCUAUGCCGCCUCCAGCUCCAGUUCAGCCCCUUGCUUCAGAUGCAGUGCAGCAGCUGAUUACUGAUGUUCAGCGGAUUUCGGAGCGACAGCAGCUGAUUCUUGAUCGGUUGGACAUCAUUUCCCGUGAUCACCAGCAGCUCCGCUCUGACUUUCAGAUUUUCCAGCAGCAGAGCAUUGACCAGUAGCUCAAGCUUAUCGCCGGACAGCGCACUCUUCUCAGCUAUUUCGGCUAUGAUCCGGGGAGCACAUCUUCUCCGCCUCCAUAGUUUCUGAGUUCUGUUUUCGCACAUACAUUUUUCCAUUUUGGUUGUUAGCUUUUUCAUACUUCGUAUAUGGAUUUUGAUGCAUAUGUGUGUGAUGUUCUUGAUGAUUAGAUGAUUGAUGCUUUGUGAUUGAAUAAUUGUUGGUAUGUUUGUGGAUAUUGAAGUGUUCUUUUGUUUUGAUCAUGGAGUUGUUGGCUUGUUGAAAGAAGAAGUUGGUGUCAAUCUAUUUUUUGAAGUGUUCUAUCUCAUUUUGUAUAAGUGGUUUUGAUCAUUUUUAAGGGGAAACUCUGCCAAAAUUUUCGCUCGCCAAAGCCGGGCAACUUCUUUAAUGGAUUUGUGUAUUUCUUAUUUCUUCUUUUCUUUUUGAUGAUGAAGGGGGAGAUAAUUAUGGUUUUUAAGAUGGUUUUUAAAUGGGGAGAUAUUAUUUUAAGAUGGAUUUAAAAUGGGGAGAUUUAAAGAAAAAAUCCUUUUAUUCAUAUUUCUCAAUUUGUCCAUACAUGUAGGGGGAGCACAUAUUAAGGGGGAGCUAAACAUUGAAUGAAAUUUGUCAUCAUAAAAAAUGGGGAGAUUGUUAACAUAAAUAUGUUAAUAAUAUUGAUUUUGAUGAUAACAAAUUUUAUAUGGUUUUUGACAAAAAUAUUGGAGAUAUUUCUUAAUAAACGAAAGCCCUUUUAUUCAUUGCCUUAUUUUUUCAUAAAAGAUGGACUUUCAAAUUAGAAAGAGAUUCUCUACAAAAAAAAAAACUCGUUUAAAAUUGCAAUUCUGGUUAUAAACGGUUAACCAUUUUAAACGAUUAAAGGCAGAGAGCAACAUAUUUCCUAAACCUUUAACCGUUUAUGAAAAACGGAAAACACAAAAGAUGGGAAGGUUACUGGAACUUAACGGUGAACCGUUUAUUUUAAACGGUUAACCGAUUAACACCAGAGAGCGACAUAAUGCCUAAAGCUCUAACCGUUUAUGAAAAAUGGAAAUCACCAAGAAUGGAAAGGCUACUGGAACUUAACGGUGAACCGUUUAUUUUAAACGGGUAACCGAUAAUGUCCAGAAUUGAAGGUUGUCCUCCUCUGGCACUGAUUAACGAAAAAUGAUAAGGCUAAAUUAUUUUGCAGGUUACUGGAGACAAACGGCGAACUGUUUAUUUCAAACGGUUAACCGAUAAUAUCCAGAAACGUUACUUCACGCAAGUUCUUAACCGUUUAGCGUAAACGGAUAACAAAUGCUCAUCUUGCAGGUCUCUGGUAGUUAACGGCUAAAGGUUAAUUACAAACGGCAAACCGUUUAUUUGAAAUCUAGCCCAACGGUAACUUUGACCAACCGAAACGGUUAACCGUUUAGGGUUAACGGCGAACCAUUUUCUGUCCGACAGUUUGUAACGGCUAGAUUUUCAGCUCCAGAUAUAAAUAAGCUCAUUCAAAUUCAAAGAAGGUUGAUCACAACACGACCAUUUUGAGCUAAUAUUCGAGAAUGCAAUCUUCAUAGAGCUUAGAACACAUUAUUGCUUCAUCUAUUCACAUAUUAAGCAUCAUUGUGUAAUCUUAUAUAUUGUGAGAGGUAAAACAGUUUGUAAUCUUUUACUUUGAGUGAUUGUAAGUGUUGGGAUACACUUGGGUUAAGAGAUUGGGGAUAAUCUCUUGUUGUAAAGGUCCAUUGACACCUUGGAAGUCAAGUGUAAGCAUUUGAAGCCUUGGAGGCUUGCUUAGUGGAAUCCUCAAGCCCGGAAAGCUUGGAGGCGUGGACGUAGGCGAGGUUGGCCGAACCACGUAAAAAUCUCGGUGUUUGAAUCCCUCUUCCCUUAUCUUUUUAUAUUGUGAUCAUCUUAAUUGUUAUUGCUUUGAAUUUGAUUUAUAAUUGCAUUAAGAUUUUCUUUAAUAAAUUGAAUAAUUUUUUAGAAUCCCAAUUCACCCCCCCUCUUGGGUUGCAUACUUGUAUUUCAUAUUUUCCACAUAUACCGGUAUAGUCUCUGACUUUUCUUUUACACUGCUAUCAUCUUCAUCUCUCGUUUGCAGUUGAUCUUCUAUAAAGAUAACAUCUCUGCUGAUGAUGAUCUUGUGGGCAGUGGGGUCCCACAGACGAUACCCUUUUACUCCAUCAGCAUAUCCCAAGAAGAUACAUCUUCUAGAUUUUGGAUCCAGUUUUGUUCUUUCUUGGGCAUUGUACAUCACGUACACAGGACAUCCAAAUGCAUGUAGGUAGGAAUAAUCAGCUGGCUUUCCAGUCCACAUCUCCAUCGCUGUCUUCAGCCCAAUAGCUGUAGAUGGCGACCGAUUUACUAUAUAACAAACAGUUUUGGCUGCUUCUGCCCAAAAUGAAUUGGGUAGACCAGCAGUCCUCAACAUAGCUCUUAUUCUUUCUGUAAGAGUUCUGUUCAUCCGCUCCGCCACUCCGUUUUGUUGAGGAGUGUAUGCUACAGUGAACUGUCUCUGAAUACAUUCUUGCUUACAGAAAGCAAGAAACUCGCCGUCUGUAUACUCUCCACCAUUAUCCGUCCUCAAUUACUUGAUCUUUUUACCAGAUUCAAGUUCCACCCGCGCUUUGUAUUCUUUAAACACUGGAAAUACAUUUGACUUUUUUUUAAUUGGAUACACCCAACAUCUUCUGGAAUAAUCAUCAAUGAAAGUCACCAUGUACUUUGCACCUCCCAUGGAUAUAUCCGGUGAUUCCCAAACAUCAGAAUGAAUCAAGUUUAGAAUGCAUUUACUUCUAGCAAUAGAUCUACUAAAUUUUAAUUUAUGCUGCUUACUUGUAACACAAUGCUCGCAAAAUGGUAAACUUACCGAUUUGAGCCCCGGAAGCAAUUUUCGCUCAGAGAGAAUCUUCAAGCCUUGUUCUGACAUGUGGCCAAGUUUGAGAUGCCACAUCAUCGUUGACUCUUCUCCAUUUGAUGCGACACACGCAUCAGCCUCCUGUAGUGUUUCUCCUUUAAGCAUGAAUAGAUUAGCACUGAUCUUUUCUGCAUUCAUCAAUACAAGCGCGCCUUUAACGAUCUUCAUAAUUCCAUUCUCCACAUGAGUUUUGUACCCAUGACUAUCCAUUUGUCCCAAAGACAAAAGAUUUUUCUUCAGGCCGUUGACAUGGCGUACCUCCCCAAUUGUGCGAAUUGUACCAUCAAACAUUUUUAUUUUGAUAGUACCAAUACCAGCGAUCUCCAAGGCAUGAUCAUUACCUAUAUAUACAGAUCCUCCUGAGAUAGGUUCAUAUGUGUGGAACCAUUCUCUCCGAGAGGUCAUGUGCCAGGUAGCUCCUGAGUCUAUAAGCCAGACAUCAGAUAGUCGUUUUCUGCCUUUUGAAACAAUUGUUGCCUCGCUGUAAAGAAUUUCGCCAUCAUCCGAGGUACUUGCUAUACACCCUUGAGCAUUUGAUGACUCAGGUUUUUUGCCCUCUUUUCUCUUCUGGUUACUCCAACACUCUUUCUUGACGUGCCCUUUCUUGCCACAGUUGUAGCAUUUAACAUUCUUCUUACUUCUGGAUUUUGAUCUACCAUGAUUUUGACUCCCACUAGGGCCACGUUCCGUUGAUCUCCCUCUCGUCACCGAUAGCGCCUCCGUUUGCUGUGAACUUACUUGUCUGUUUUCCUUAUUUUUUCGCCUGCUCUCCUCAUUUAAUACGGAGGCUGCAACAUCGUCAAAAACUAGACUGUCCACUGGAUUAUUGUUCGUCAGGUUGAUGAUGAGUUGAUCAUACGAAUCUGGUAGACUUUGAAGUAGAAGCUCUGCACGUUCAUUUUCCUCUAUAUUAUGACCCAACGUUGUGAGUUGUGAAAAUAGAGUCUUCAAGGUGUUGAUGUGGUCGGUCACCAUUGUAGAUUCCGCCAUUCGAAGAGUAUAAAGUUUCCUCUUCAAGAAAAUUUUGUUGUGUAGUGACUUGGCCUCGUACAAUUUUGUGAGAGUAUCCCAAAUUUCCUUCGUUGUGUUUUUCUCUGCCACACUGGAUAAUACUCCGUCUGCAAGUGCCAAGUGUAGAUCAGAAAUGGCGUUGCCGUCUACCUCGUUCCACUUGUCAUCAGUUAUCUCCAUGGGCCUUUCUCCAAUUGCUGCCAAGCAAUUAUUUUUCCUCAAUACAGCUUUCAUCUUCAUUUUCAACAAUGAAAAAUUAUUUCCGUUAAACUUCUCAAUUUCAUACUUUGCCACCAUUUUGUUGAUAAAUACCGCACACAAGCUAGUGUACCACCUUGAAUAGUUGUGAGUAUGUGUGAGAAUGCACACCAGGAAAGUUCCCAGGAAAGACUGGAGGGGUCACAAUGGUCCCACUUAAAACCCAGACUCAUUAAGCUCUUAUCGCCUUUGUGAUAGAACUUUCCUAGACAUGUACAAAACCACACAGUUGCUAUUACUCACACCACUAUUCUCUGCUUUGCAUCACAAAAUUCUUGGAUCGCUUCCACCGUUUCUUGUGAAUAGUACCGUAUACGUGAACAUUACCGUUUACGUGAAUAGUACCCCUUACGUGAACAGUACCCGACUCCAAAAAUACAACCAAUAGCUCUGAUACCACUGUUAGGAAAUUGGUAGGUGAAGCAGACACGCAGCUAGAAUAAAAUUGAAAGAAAAAUAAAGAACAAGUACAAAAAAUGGACACCAGAAAUUACGUGGUUCGACUUUUAGCCUACAUCCACGGGCGAAGACAGAAGGAAAUAUUUUACUAGUGAAAAGGAGUUACAAGUAUUGUAGUAUUUUAGCUCACUUCCCAAAAUCCCAAUACACCCAAACUCUCAGAACACUAAUCACUCAAGAGUUUAUUAAACUCUUAAUACUCUCAACACUAAAAGAAAGCAAUAUUUCUCUCUCGAUGGAAUUGGAUACAAGCUCUAGAUUGAGAGCUUGUAUUUAUAGGCAAAAAUUUGCCUCAAAUGUCAAACAAGUGGCCAUAAACUUCAAGCCAUACAUCUUAAAAAUUUCAAACUUUGAAUUUUUAGCUUUGAAUUUUUCUUUUCUUUUACCAAACAUUACGGCAUCUAGAAUUUCAAAGCCAAGUGCCAACCAUUCUUGUUUAUUCAAAGCUUCUAGAUGCAGCCAAUUUUGACAAUUACACAUAUAUAAGAGUAUGUCGUCAGGUCCAUACUAGUAUUUUUACACAAGCGGUCACCUCAAUUGCUUUAGGAGCAAGAUGAGAUGAGACAAGUAGAAUAAUAAAACAAUAUUUUUGUGUGAGAGCCAAAUAAAAAGCGUUAUUCUACAAGUUUUUUUGCCUUGACUAGAAUCAAGAGGUCUCACACGAUUUUCAUUAUAGACUGACUAUGAUAUACCCCACCAUCAUGGAGACUUCAUUGAAGCCAGAUGUGAGAUCUUUACUUUUUACGCUAGAAGAGAGCGUUCAUUCUAAAAGAGUGACUAGACUAAGAUCUAUAGUCCUGGAAUGGAAAAUUUAUCGUAACGAGUGUAUCAUACCAUGCGUGCUUGGUAAUCAAAAUGGAAAAUGAAAGAAUCUUCAAUCUUUCUAAUUGUGUAAGUUCCAUAUAACUUUUUAUAAGUCAAUCCUGGUAUCAUCUUCUUCUCUUCUUCGUGAAGAUUAAAAUUAAGAACAUUGAACAAUCCAUAAAAAGGGCAUUUAUACUGUGAUUAGAUAAGGAUUUCCGCUUGCGAUUUCUUCUGACCAUUAACAUGAUCCAGUACUCGAUUACUCCGCUGCUGAAUUCAAUAAGAAAAAUAUUUCUAGAAUUUUCAUUUUUCCUUCAGACCAUGUAAGAAGCAUACGAACAGGAUGAUCCGGAGUCAAAAGGUGAACGAGGUGACGGCUCGUCCGUUAGUACUAUUAAUGUAUAAGGUAAUAUGGGAAUUACUAAUAAUUAAUCGACUAGCUGAUUUGUUAGUUAUGAUUAUCAAUGACGGUCUAUUUCCUGCCCAUAUUUUACCAUGCUGUUGAAUGGUCCCCUUAAAAUAAUCCAGAUCAGUCAUUUGCAUAAAAAUAUAUCAUGAGCGGUUAGGUGGAGGAUGCUGAUUUGUUAGAAAAUAAUUGUUUUCAACUCUUGCGAUUGUCUGCACCCUGCACUCUUGUUCCAAAACCAAUACAAAACUGUAGCAAUCUUAAGAGGAUUUGUGGAACAAAAGAUGGCCAAGAUUGGAGGUUCUCUGCUUGUUCCUUGUGUUCAAGAGUUGGUCAAGAAUCCUAUGUUAGUUGUCCCUCCUAGAUACAUUUGUCCGGACGAAGAUUCACCACUCAAUUCUGAUGAUACUUUGAUUUCACAGAUACCAGUUAUUGACAUGCAGAGCUUGCUUUCUGAAGAAUCAAUGGAUUCUGAGUUAGCCAAGCUCGACUUCGCUUGCAAAGAAUGGGGUUUUUUCCAGGUAAAAUGCUUUAGCAGAGUUAGAAAGAUUUUUCAUGCUUGUCUGUGAUUUAAGAAUCAUGAAAUCUGCAAAACUCUCAGUCACAAAAUAUCUAUUUUUGAAACCCAGUUUCCAUUGAUUUAGCAUGUCAUGAUUUCAAAUUUUCCCAUCUAGUCCUUUUGCUGCUUUCAGUGCUUCUACGACUGCAGCUUGUGAAAUGUCAAGGAAGUUGUCUCUUGUUUUAUUGUACAAUUUAUGAGGCGAUAUGAGAAGAAAACACUCACCAUUUAUUUCUGAAACCCAGAUUCCAUUGAUAUAUUUGUUUUUGACUUGCUUUAUUACUUUACCUUUCCAUAUAGCCAUAGAUUUGUUAGUAUAAUUUGUAUUAAAAGAUGCCCAUGACAAAGUUCACCUAUUUUGUCUCAAUAGCUUUUGGUAGCUUAUGAGAAAUAUGCUUCUGUCAAUAUGUGAUUAAAGAUAUAGUAAAUUGUAUAAGACUCCCGCAGAUUAUUAGCUGUUCUAGAAUAUUCAAAUUUCUCCAAAACUAUGAGUAAAAAACACUUGUAAAAAUCAAUCAUUGAUUAGAUUUAUAAACAAAAUAAAAUUGGUGUUUAAUGCAACAGCAAUGUUCUCAGUUGAAAUGUAACAAAUGCUUUUAGCCAUCUUUGAUAGCAAAUCUUGUCUCUAAAUUAGUCAAAUAAGUUGCAAUCUGUCUUCAUAAAACGCCUGGACGAUUGUGAACCUAGUGGCACGAUUAUCAAAUCUUAGCUGCUGUUCAUUCCUGCGUAAUUUCAGCUGGUAAACCAUGGAGUAAGCUCAGCAUUUCUAGAGAAAGUGAAGAAAGAGGUUAAGGGCUUCUUCAAUCUCAGCAUGGAAGAAAAGAAAAAAUAUUGGCAGCAUCCAGGAGAUGUAGAAGGAUUUGGACAAGCCUUUGUUGUAUCUGAGGAACAAAAGCUUGAUUGGGCUGACAUUUUCUCCAUGAUCACUCUUCCAGUUCAUCUGAGGAAGCCACACUUAUUUCCUAAGCUCCCUCCUUCCCUCAGGUUCUCUCUUUUUGUGGUUGAUAUGGAUUUGCAAACAAAAAGGGAAAAUUAAACCUUCUAUGAUUCUAUCUAAUGUUUUACCUUCUUUUUUCUUGUAGAGACACCUUGGAAGUUUACUCGAUGGAGUUAAAAUCUCUGGCCAUGAACCUGAUAUCGAAAAUGGGAAAAGUUUUAAAUAUCAAAGAUGAAGAAUUGAGAGAAUUCUUUGACAAUGGUUUCCAAUCAAUGAGGAUGAACUAUUACCCUCCAUGUCCUCAGCCAGAAAAGGUUAUGGGCCUCACCCCUCAUUCUGAUGGCUCUGCUCUUACCAUUCUGCUACAAAUCAAUGAAGUAGAAGGUCUCCAGAUCAAGAACGAUGGAAAAUGGAUUCCUAUCACACCGCUGCCAAAUGCUUUCAUUGUCAACAUCGGAGACACAUUGGAGGUAAUAAUUAUGAUUACUUUCCUUGGCAUUUUUAUGUCCCUUCUCAUGUGCUCUAAUAUUUUUAACAUUGCAGAUUAUGACCAAUGGGACAUACCGUAGCAUUGAACAUCGUGCAAUUGUGAACUCUAUACAAGAAAGACUUUCCAUUGCCACAUUUUACACAAAGAGAUUAGAUGGUGAAAUAUAUCCAGCAUCCAGUUUGAUAUCUGAAAAAACUCCUGCAUUGUUUCGAAGAGUGACAGUUGAAGAAUACUUUAGGAGCCGGUUUGCUCGUGAGCUUAGGGGAAAAUCUCACCUGGAUGACCUGAGAAUUCAACAUGGUCGAGGCUAGUACAAUUAUUUUGGAUAAUUGCAGAUUUGUGCCAGGAAUUUUCUGAUGAUAAUUGUGCUUAUUUUGGAUCAGUUUCUUUCAUUUUUGGAAUAGAAUUUUUGCAGGCUUGUCAUGUUUUUAUCAGAUUUCAAGAACUAUUUCACUUGCUUUCGGAGUUAAAGAUGAUUCAAAUAUGAUAUUAAAUACUUAAGCAUGCCAUUCUAACGCUUGCUUGUCCAAUUACAUCC